RNAcentral lists this ribosomal RNA (253 nucleotides) under uncultured bacterium. RNAcentral describes it as "partial 16S ribosomal RNA". It matches the Rfam family "Bacterial small subunit ribosomal RNA", at positions 524 to 776 of the family's 1533-position model. The record is from RNAcentral.
UACGGAGGGUGCGAGCGUUAUUCGGAAUUACUGGGCGUAAAGAGCUCGUAGGCGGCUUAAUAAGUCUGAUGUGAAAGCCCUGGACUCAAUCUAGGAAGUGCAUUGGAUACUGUUAGGCUCGAGUAUAGGAGAGGUGAGUGGAAUUCCUGGUGUAGAGGUGAAAUUCGUAGAUAUCAGGAGGAACAACGGUGGCGAAGGCGACUCACUGGACUAUUACUGACGCUGAGGAGCGAAAGCGUGGGGAGCAAACAGG